Long non-coding RNA from Podarcis raffonei (Aeolian wall lizard), 1189 nucleotides. RefSeq lists it as uncharacterized. The record is from RefSeq and is a predicted model, not a curated record. Lineage: Eukaryota; Metazoa; Chordata; Lepidosauria; Squamata; Lacertidae. The transcript is spliced from 3 exons.
GCUGCCCCAGACGCGCUCGGGAAUAGCCGGAGAGAUGCUCGCCAGGAGACGCAGACGCGCCUCUAAGCAGCCCCUGCCUUCGGGACGGGAUCGAGCAGGUCAAGCUGCUACUCAAGUUGCUGGCAGUUCUCUUUGGGUCAGCUGGCAACCCUCCACAGUUACAGCUCAAGGCUUUGAACACCUUGCAACACCUCGUGACUCUCUUGUUUUCGUCCUCAGGAAAAGAUUGUAUCUGGGGAGAGGAAGGAAUGUAUGUCUUGCCUGGCACCCUUUGCCAUAUUCCUGUCAGGAGGGGGAGAUGUCAAGGUUCACAAUUCAUGGGAAACACCUCACUCAACAAGCAAAAAACUCUUUCUAAGACAGAGAUUCCAAGAAGGCGUCCGCCAGGCAGAGAAGGGGAUUAUGCUGUGGUCUGGACCACUGUUCUGUUGCAUUAUCUGCGCACCUGCAAAAUUUUCACAUAAAACUGUCUUUUGAGAUACUUAAACUCACCUGUAAAUGUGAUGUCGUGGCCAUAGGAAUAAGGGCCUGGCUUGCAGGGAACUUGUCAAGAUGGAGAACUGAGACUAAGGAGGAGUGACCAGCCCAAGGCCAAGCAAAGGGCAGUUUCCAGGAAGGAAAUCGAGGAAUCGACCUGUCGUUUACAUGCAUUCCCAAUAUUUUCAAGGCAGAUGGUGAAAGGUAGCUGUGUGUUACAUGAAACUCUGGCACCAUCACACCCAGCUUCUCCUUUCAGGAAUAUUGCACAGUUCUGAUUGCCACAUUCCAAAGACACAGGGAUACAGAUAGAUCCCUUAUGCCCAGUAUUGUCUACACUUUCUGCAUGCAAGGCAGAUGUUCUGCCACUGAGCUAUAGGACCCUUCCCAAGACAAAGCUUGUUCUUUCCAUUUGUAUAUGUUCUUCAGUUUUAUGGGUGGCGCUUUUUUUAGUCUGAUGUGCAUUGUUGCAUUUGUUCAAUAUAUAUUGCAUUUAUAUACUGUGUGCAAACUGCUUUCAUGUCACAUUAUUCUGAUAAUGGAAUCAUAUAAUCAUAGAAUUGAAAGGGACCCUGAGGGUCAUCUAGUCCAGCCCCCGCCAUGCAGAAAUCUUAACUAGAUCAUACAGGGCAGGUGGUCAUCCAGCCUCUGCUUUAAAACUUCAAAGGAAGGAGAGUCCGCCACUGUUUGUUCCACUGUUGACACCACAAUG